UGUGAUCUGCACCUCUUCAGGGUAGCUGUGC
RNAcentral lists this non-coding RNA (31 nucleotides) under Homo sapiens (human). The record is from RNAcentral. Lineage: Eukaryota; Metazoa; Chordata; Mammalia; Primates; Hominidae.